RNAcentral lists this ribosomal RNA (492 nucleotides) under uncultured bacterium. Its description in RNAcentral is "partial 16S ribosomal RNA". It matches the Rfam family "Bacterial small subunit ribosomal RNA", at positions 29 to 507 of the family's 1533-position model. The record is from RNAcentral.
AGUGAACGCUGGCGGUAGGCCUAACACAUGCAAGUCGAACGGCAGCACAGUAAGAGCUUGCUCUUACGGGUGGCGAGUGGCGGACGGGUGAGGAAUACAUCGGAAUCUACUUUUUCGUGGGGGAUAACGUAGGGAAACUUACUCUAAUACCGCAUACGACCUACGGGUGAAAGCAGGGGAUCUUCGGACCUUGCGCGGUUGAAUGAGCCGAUGUCGGAUUAGCUAGUUGGCGGGGUAAAUGCCCACCAAGUGGACGAUCCGUAGCUGGUGUGAGAGGAUGGUCAGCCACACUGGAACUGAGCCACGGUCCAGACUCCUACGGGAGGCAGCAGUGGGGAAUAUUGGACAAUGGGCGCAAGCCUGAUCCAGCCAUACCGCGUGGGUGAAGAAGGCCUUCGGGUUGUAAAGCCCUUUUGUUGGGAAAGAAAAGCAGCAGGUUAAUACCCCGCUGUUCUGACGGUACCCAAAGAAUAAGCACCGGCUAACUUCGUG